This is a long non-coding RNA of Gadus macrocephalus (Pacific cod), 519 nucleotides long. RefSeq lists it as uncharacterized. Lineage: Eukaryota; Metazoa; Chordata; Actinopteri; Gadiformes; Gadidae. The record is from RefSeq and is a predicted model, not a curated record. The transcript is spliced from 2 exons.
UGUUCGAUUGUUCGUUGUUUCGACUCACCCUUGCGCAUCUUGGCGGAGAAAAGGAAUAUGUUUCUGCCGGCGACCCGCCGCCCACUCUCGCGGGAGUCUCGGGUCUCGCGAAGUAACGAAUUGCUUUACGGCACAGACCCCCAAACACGGAACCGGCUCGAUAUAAACACAAGUCACUAAGGGAUUGUUAUAUUCAUCAUAGAUCCGCCGACUAAAAAGAGACAGAGAAACCCAAUGUCGGAGGAACAGAAGAAGAGAAAAGGGAGACUGACCGGCAGAGAGGCCAGACACGAACUGCAAAUCAGACGCCGACCCGGCCGUGUUGCUUUUGAAAUUGAAAGUACCCUUGGGUGGCCUUUGUCUUCGUGGUAUUCUUGAUGUUGAUAGUCUCUGUACAAAUGUGUUUGCUCAACCAUUUUGUUGUGAGCCCUGUAAAAAUUGUUUUAUCGACCGUUUUGUUGUGAGCCCUGUAUGUUUCUAGCUUGCUUGGUUGCAACCAUAUAAACACCUUUGUUUCCA